Molecule: transfer RNA, 71 nt
Filed under: bacterium
Lineage: Bacteria
Description: tRNA-Ile
Rfam family: tRNA
About the family: Transfer RNA (tRNA) molecules are approximately 80 nucleotides in length.
Source: RNAcentral
CCGCCCAUAGCUCAGUGGUAGAGCGGUCGUCUUAUACACGAUUGAUGGGGGUCCGAUUCCCUCUGGGCGGA